RNAcentral lists this small RNA (919 nucleotides) under Drosophila virilis. RNAcentral describes it as "GJ26094". The record is from RNAcentral. Lineage: Eukaryota; Metazoa; Arthropoda; Insecta; Diptera; Drosophilidae.
UAUCUUAGAUGUUAAGAAUAGUAUUCAGUCAUUUUGGUAUUGUCACCUAAAGCAGCCAAGAGCUAAGUUUAACAUAUUGACAUACAGUGCGUCCACCCAGACAACCUCGACACGGCCUUCACCAAUAAUGGCAGGAGCUUCACCAAUGGACGGGUUGACUUCGCUCUUUACAGACCUAAACAUACUGGCGGCCGGAAAAUCGACUAGAACAACCAGCACAUCGACUUAACAACUUUCUAAACUAUCGCGGUGCGACCACAAUGCAUUUCCUGGUAGCACAACUAAACUAGCCGAAAGCAUUGCCAUAAGCUUCAAUAUCCAAUACCAAGAAUCUGUGUUCGCCAUGGAUGUGCUGUACACAGCAAUGUUAUGUCAGAACACCUGAGUCUACUCCUAACCAGGGAGUCGUACACCACAAAAUGGAUCAAUCGGCAUAGUUUCAUGCCCUACAUUAGCUGCCAUAAGGAUACCCCACAAUAUCUCACGUAACAGCAACAACAUCAAAAUGCUGUAUGGUUCAGGAAUCCGACUGCUGCCAGCAUCAACACUUCUUAAAAAUAUAGCAUCAGCUACCAUCAGCUAGACUUUAAUCUAUACAACCCAAGGCAUUGUCGUGGACCGAAUGAAAGGCAGCAAAUAACAGGCACGCAAAGACCAGCAGUCCGAAACGAAGAAAUGAAACACAAGUAUAAAAAUGAAGAUAGUAUAUGAAGUCCAAUUUAUUAUAGCUAGUCCACAUUCAUAUAAAAAUCAACCCGAAAUUAAUUUGUGGUAAAGACCAUAUCUGGAAAGAAAAAUAUCCGCAUCAGCAUUAACGAUUUUCAACGAACACGCGGAAUCGGAAUGCAAUUGUAUAACUUCAUGAGCUUCUCCUCCAUAUAUCAGCACCAUAUCCAAUAGAUCUUUUCAUACAAUUGCU